Molecule: long non-coding RNA, 3140 nt
Organism: Anguilla rostrata (American eel)
Lineage: Eukaryota; Metazoa; Chordata; Actinopteri; Anguilliformes; Anguillidae
Exons: 3
Source: RefSeq, a predicted model, not a curated record
AAUUCUCAACAUACAUACAGAUGCAUUUUUUCUCUUAUUUAAAAUAUAAAAUCCGUAUUAAUAACAGUUUUGGAAACGAAACGCGUCGAGUUUAUGGCUUAAUUUUGACCCAUUUGGCCUUCCAUAUUGUCAAUGUGUUUUUUGCGCUCUCAACGUGCUGACAACGCAUGCUUCCAGACAACAGUUUCACGUAUUUUGACCAGUUUGGCUGUCGAUUCUAUGAAACGCAAGGAAAGGAAGCAAGGACGGUUAAAAUAAGCGAUUGGAACGAGCCCAGUGUCUUUUGUUCCGAGUGCAGUGUGCUGCAGCGUUCCUUAUUUCGGGCUGGUCCCUGUGAAGUUGUCCGGUAUGAAGAGAGGAAGUGAUUCAAGUCAUCAUACACAUGACAUUAACCCACAAUACGCUGGCAUGUCCCAUCGAAGAAAAGUCCUCCCUGAAUUCUGGAGAGCACAGACGAGCACGGGUUCUCCUUCGAGGUGCAGGUAGACAGACGUUACUACUUUUCACUCAGCAUUCCACAACAGGAGCACUCCAGUCACCACAUCAGAUUAAUACGCUUCAAAUUCUCACAAUAAGACCGGGAAAUCCCAGCCGACUGAUACCUCUGUCAAAAUAUGACAUCGGACUGCAAAACUACAAAGACCAUCAUGCACUUUAACCAGGACAAGCCACUCAAUAGCCCCAUCCCUUGGAAAUAUUGUGCAGGAAACCGCACACUUGAAGUUUAAUUAAAAAGGACUUUCAUGAAAAAUAUUCAGCUACAGUUCACUGGCCAAUGAAGCGGAACAAGCACUUCUUACGGAAAAUAAAAAAGUAAAAGUUCUGAGCGCAGUGCUUCCGUUCGCCAAGUGGAUUUUCUCACCACAUCACCUCAAACAUACCCUACAAAGUGUGCCAAACCAGUUAAAUCAACUAACAGCGGUGUCAAAAGAAUAUUGACCCUUGCCCCAAAUUCACAUUUGGAUCAACAAGUGCAAAGUUGUUUUGCCGGCAGACUUGUUUAAAUAAGUACUACAUCUAACAUGAAGUAUACCCUAUGUUCUGACAUAGUAAUGUAUUACCAAGAGUAGAUUGGUAACUAACUGGAAUCCUUUUUAAGGCACAUGACAGAAGUAACUGAUCAAAGAUCACAUACUGGUUUAAAUAUAAAGACUAUUUUCCCAUACAGGCACAGCAAAGCAACUUUCCUAACACUUAACAAUUAGCAUGGGUGCAGGGCUUUUUCUUUAAAAAAGGAGCUAUUAAAAGGCUUCUUCCAAUGCAAGACAUCUACUGACAUCCUCUUGACACAUGUCCACGUGACUAGAUCCACGGUUAGGGUAAACUAUACCUAGUGGCAGCACUAUGGGAGGGCUACCCGGGGCUAUAGCCUUGACAUAAAUCUGCGUGGCACUGGCACAGACCCGCAAUUUAAUAAAUUUAAUAACAAUAGAUUAUCAGUAACUCCAUGUAUUAGCCUAGCUCCCCCUUAGCGCUUCCAGGGAAGAAUUCCUGGUUCCUCCACUGACUCAGUGUUUUCCAUACAGUGAAUUUAUUUGGGCGGCCCGCCCAGAUAGAUUUGCCCCCAUCCAAAAAGAUUUUUUGGUACAUUUCUAUAAGCAACACACUAUACAUUUGUAUUUGUUCUUUUAAAUGUCAAAGUGACAUACAACCGUCUCUCUCGUUUCGCUGCGUGAGCUGGCCCUUCCCCCUCCCUCUUGUAGCCAGUGGAUGUAGAGCAGAUAGGGGAGGACAGUACCUGAACACGAACAUCACUAGAAGGGCAGUCGUGCAACCUUAUCUGUGCCAGAUACCAAAAUAUUUUACGUUUUUCAAAAUCGAUAAAAUGUUAUUGUUGUUAUGCAUUGUUUCUUUAAAAGAAUAUGUCCUCUGCCCUAACUAAGUCUGCAAAUUAUCAACAUUAUUUGGAUUAAUGUCAGUGUUCACCUAGUUAAAAUUAGCUUAUGAAAACACAAACUUUUCACUUUUGACAGAGAUGAGUAUAAAAAAAAUUCUUCUUUAAAAAAAGGAGAAACUGCACCACAGAGAGGUUGCAUAACAUUACUGUUAGAGUAAUAGUUUCAGUUAACAGUUAGGCCUACUUUAAUUGAAAUUGAUGAAAAUCAUUGUGUUUAAAAAUGAGGGCAUUUUGGAUAUCAGCCACCAAUUACUUUAAAGUUACUUAACUUCUGUUUAGAAUUUGUUUGUGAUUAUUUUAUCCUCCAUAUCAUUCUGAUAGCAUAAGGGUUUGCCGGUAACUGAGAACAUUACUGCAAAUUGUUUAAGUUUGGAUUGAUUUUGCAUUCUGUUCAUUCACUGUGUCACCGGAGCAACUUGACGCGAAAAGUGUCGUACAGACUUGUUGUAAAUUCUUAACCUUUGGGAAACACUGCUGACUAGACCCCAGGAUGAACUAAGUCAUCAACAUUUCAGAACACCCAGCAUCCAGCAUGAAAUUAGAAUAAAGGGCUACCUCACAUUUGCUGUACCAUGAGAGACAGAGAGAGACAGACAGAGAGAGAGAGAGAGAGACAGAGAGACCCUACGGGCUCACCAUCCGGCUCAUCCUUGAUCUUGCAGUUGUCCUUCAGUGUCUGUAAGUCUCCAAACAGGCUCUCCAGGAUAGCGCUCGCGAUGGGCAGCAUCAUGGCAGUAGUGGCCGUGUUGCUGAGCCACAUGGACAGGAAGGAGGAUGUGAGCAUCAUGCCCAAUAUGAGCCUGGCGGGAGAGCAAGGGCAACGCAGUCAGUGGGUGUCAUGGUUCUGUUUUACUGUUUCUGUUUUUCCUUGUUGGGCCGCCAGAUGGCGGCACUUCUUUUUUGUGUCCUGCUCGUUCCCCUGUUAAUUGUAUUAUUGUUUUCCAUUAUUGUCUCGUUAUUCUAUCAUUGUUCCCACCUGUGUCUUGUUAUCCCCUCCUUUUCUGGUUUGAUUGUUUUUUGAGUUCACCUGUGUCUUGUUACCCCGUCUAUUUAAGUUCUUUGUCCCCUUGACUCGGGUGCUGGUUCCUUGUGUUUAUUUUCUACUUGUGUUUGUUUCUGACCAUAUGUACCUGCCCUUGUACUCUGCCUGCCUGUGUUCUGCCCUGCCCAUGUUUUUGCCCAUCGUGGCCUUUCCUGUUCCCCAUUUGUGUUUGCCCUUUUGUUAGUAAAGUCUGUUAAUUUU